CAUCAUGUAGCGCCAGCCACACCAGGAACAGAAGGGUGCCGGGUACCUUCCGCAUGCUUGGUAUUCUCCCCGCGGGGCUCUGACCGCUGCCGCUCUCAGGCACCUGUCUUUCCUCUCCGUCCCAGAAUGGAGCCAAGACAAGGGAAUAAACGAAAUUCAAUAGUACACGGAGAUCGGGUGUCUGGGCAGCGUCUUGGAAAAACUAUCCACUACAGCAAUCAACAACACAGAAGACAACUUCUGCAACCCUAUCGGGAGAGGAGGGGUUCUCUCCACCACCAGUCCCCUGGAAGAAUUCUCAAAACACAGAAUGCUUGCCAAGUCAAUCCUAAGCCAAAAGAACAAAGCUGGAGGCAUCACACUACCUGACUUCAAACUAUACUACAAGGAUGCAGUAACCAAAACAGCAUGGUACUGGUACCAAAACAGAGAUAUAGACCAAUGGAACAGAACAGAGCCCUCAGAAAUAAUGCCGCUUAUCUACAACCAUCUGAUCUUUGACAAACCUGACAAAAACAAGAAAUGGGGAAAGGAUUCCCUAUUUAAUAAAUGGUGCUGGGAAAACUGGCUAGCCAUAUGCAGAAAGCUGAAACUGGAUCCCUUCCUUACACCUUAUGCUAAAAUUAAUUCAAGAUGGAUUAAAGACUUAAAUGUUAGACCUAAAACCAUAAAAACCGUAGAAUAAAACCUAGGCAAUACCAUUCAGGACAUAGGCAUGGGCAAGGACUUCAUGUUUAAAACACCAAAAGCCAUGGCAACAGAAGCCAAAAUUGACAAAUAGGAUCUAAUUAAACUAAAGAGCUUCUGCACAGCAAAAGAAACUACCAUCAGAGUGAACAGGCAACCUACAGAAUGGGAGAAAAUUUUUGCAAUCUACUCAUCUGACAAAGGGCUAGUAUCCAGAAUCUACAAUGAACUCAAACAAAUUUACAAGAAAAAAACAACCCCAUCAAAAAGUGGGCAAACGAUAUGAACAGACACUUCUCAAAAGACGACAUUUAUGCUGCCAAAAGACACAUGAAAAAAUGCUCAUCAUCACUGGCCAUCAGAGAAAUGCAAAUCAAAACCACAAUGAGAUACCAUCUCACACCAGUUAGAAUGGCGAUCAUUAAAAAGUCAGGAAACAACAGGUGCUGGAGAGGAUGUGGAGAAACAGGAACACUUUUACACUGUUAGUGGGACUGUAAACUAGUUCAACCAUUGUGGAAGUCAGUGUGGCGAUUCCUCAGGGAUCUAGAACUAGAAAUACCAUUUGACCCAGCCAUCCCAUUACUGGGUAUAUACCCAAAGGAUUAUAAAUCAUGCUGCUAUAAAGACACAUGCACACGUAUGUUUAUUGUGGCACUAUUCACAAUAGCAAAGACUUGGAACCAACCCAAAUGUCCAAUAAUGAUAGACUGGAUUAAGAAAAUGUGGCACAUAUACACCAUGGAAUACUAUUCAGCCAUAAAAAAGGAUGAGUUCAUGUCCUUUGUAGGGACAUGGAUGAAGCCGGAAACCAUCAUUCUCAGCAAACUAUCGCAAGGACAAAAAACCAAACACCGCGUGUUCUCACUCAUAGGUAGGAACUGAACAAUGAGAACACAUGGACACAGGAAGGGGAACAUCACACGCCGGGGCCUGUUGUGGGGUGGGGGGAGCGGGGAGGGAUAGCAUUAGGAGAUAUACCUAAUGUUAAAUGACGAGUUACUGGGUGCAGCACACCAACAUGGCACAUGUAUACAUAUGUAACUAACCUGCACGUUGUGCACAUGUACCCUAAAACUUAAAGUAUAAUAAAGAA
Long non-coding RNA from Homo sapiens (human), 1783 nucleotides. Ensembl annotates it as HIF1A antisense RNA 3. Its record names the gene HIF1A-AS3. The record is from Ensembl. Lineage: Eukaryota; Metazoa; Chordata; Mammalia; Primates; Hominidae.